GGUUAAGCGACUAAGCGUACACGGUGGAUGCCCUGGCAGUCAGAGGCGAUGAAGGACGUGCUAAUCUGCGAUAAGCGUCGGUAAGGUGAUAUGAACCGUUAUAACCGGCGAUUUCCGAAUGGGGAAACCCAGUGUGAUUCGUCACACUAUCAUUAACUGAAUCCAUAGGUUAAUGAGGCGAACCGGGGGAACUGAAACAUCUAAGUACCCCGAGGAAAAGAAAUCAACCGAGAUUCCCCCAGUAGCGGCGAGCGAACGGGGAGCAGCCCAGAGCCUGAAUCAGUGUGUGUGUUAGUGGAAGCGUCUGGAAAGGCGCGCGAUACAGGGUGACAGCCCCGUACACAAAAAUGCACAUAUUGUGAGCUCGAUGAGUAGGGCGGGACACGUGGUAUCCUGUCUGAAUAUGGGGGGACCAUCCUCCAAGGCUAAAUACUCCUGACUGACCGAUAGUGAACCAGUACCGUGAGGGAAAGGCGAAAAGAACCCCGGCGAGGGGAGUGAAAAAGAACCUGAAACCGUGUACGUACAAGCAGUGGGAGCACGCUUAGGCGUGUGACUGCGUACCUUUUGUAUAAUGGGUCAGCGACUUAUAUUCUGUAGCAAGGUUAACCGAAUAGGGGAGCCGAAGGGAAACCGAGUCUUAACUGGGCGUUAAGUUGCAGGGUAUAGACCCGAAACCCGGUGAUCUAGCCAUGGGCAGGUUGAAGGUUGGGUAACACUAACUGGAGGACCGAACCGACUAAUGUUGAAAAAUUAGCGGAUGACUUGUGGCUGGGGGUGAAAGGCCAAUCAAACCGGGAGAUAGCUGGUUCUCCCCGAAAGCUAUUUAGGUAGCGCCUCGUGAAUUCAUCUCCGGGGGUAGAGCACUGUUUCGGCAAGGGGGUCAUCCCGACUUACCAACCCGAUGCAAACUGCGAAUACCGGAGAAUGUUAUCACGGGAGACACACGGCGGGUGCUAACGUCCGUCGUGAAGAGGGAAACAACCCAGACCGCCAGCUAAGGUCCCAAAGUCAUGGUUAAGUGGGAAACGAUGUGGGAAGGCCCAGACAGCCAGGAUGUUGGCUUAGAAGCAGCCAUCAUUUAAAGAAAGCGUAAUAGCUCACUGGUCGAGUCGGCCUGCGCGGAAGAUGUAACGGGGCUAAACCAUGCACCGAAGCUGCGGCAGCGACGCUUAUGCGUUGUUGGGUAGGGGAGCGUUCUGUAAGCCUGUGAAGGUGUGCUGUGAGGCAUGCUGGAGGUAUCAGAAGUGCGAAUGCUGACAUAAGUAACGAUAAAGCGGGUGAAAAGCCCGCUCGCCGGAAGACCAAGGGUUCCUGUCCAACGUUAAUCGGGGCAGGGUGAGUCGACCCCUAAGGCGAGGCCGAAAGGCGUAGUCGAUGGGAAACAGGUUAAUAUUCCUGUACUUGGUGUUACUGCGAAGGGGGGACGGAGAAGGCUAUGUUGGUCGGGCGACGGUUGUCCCGGUUUAAGCGUGUAGGCUGGUUUUCCAGGCAAAUCCGGAAAAUCAAGGCUGAGGCGUGAUGACGAGGCACUACGGUGCUGAAGCAACAAAUGCCCUGCUUCCAGGAAAAGCCUCUAAGCAUCAGGUAACAUCAAAUCGUACCCCAAACCGACACAGGUGGUCAGGUAGAGAAUACCAAGGCGCUUGAGAGAACUCGGGUGAAGGAACUAGGCAAAAUGGUGCCGUAACUUCGGGAGAAGGCACGCUGAUAUGUAGGUGAAGUCCCUUGCGGAUGGAGCUGAAAUCAGUCGAAGAUACCAGCUGGCUGCAACUGUUUAUUAAAAACACAGCACUGUGCAAACACGAAAGUGGACGUAUACGGUGUGACGCCUGCCCGGUGCCGGAAGGUUAAUUGAUGGGGUCAGCGCAAGCGAAGCUCUUGAUCGAAGCCCCGGUAAACGGCGGCCGUAACUAUAACGGUCCUAAGGUAGCGAAAUUCCUUGUCGGGUAAGUUCCGACCUGCACGAAUGGCGUAAUGAUGGCCAGGCUGUCUCCACCCGAGACUCAGUGAAAUUGAACUCGCUGUGAAGAUGCAGUGUACCCGCGGCAAGACGGAAAGACCCCGUGAACCUUUACUAUAGCUUGACACUGAACAUUGAGCCUUGAUGUGUAGGAUAGGUGGGAGGCUUUGAAGUGUGGACGCCAGUCUGCAUGGAGCCGACCUUGAAAUACCACCCUUUAAUGUUUGAUGUUCUAACGUUGACCCCUAAUCGGGGUUGCGGACAGUGUCUGGUGGGUAGUUUGACUGGGGCGGUCUCCUCCUAAAGAGUAACGGAGGAGCACGAAGGUUGGCUAAUCCUGGUCGGACAUCAGGAGGUUAGUGCAAUGGCAUAAGCCAGCUUGACUGCGAGCGUGACGGCGCGAGCAGGUGCGAAAGCAGGUCAUAGUGAUCCGGUGGUUCUGAAUGGAAGGGCCAUCGCUCAACGGAUAAAAGGUACUCCGGGGAUAACAGGCUGAUACCGCCCAAGAGUUCAUAUCGACGGCGGUGUUUGGCACCUCGAUGUCGGCUCAUCACAUCCUGGGGCUGAAGUAGGUCCCAAGGGUAUGGCUGUUCGCCAUUUAAAGUGGUACGCGAGCUGGGUUUAGAACGUCGUGAGACAGUUCGGUCCCUAUCUGCCGUGGGCGCUGGAGAACUGAGGGGGGCUGCUCCUAGUACGAGAGGACCGGAGUGGACGCAUCACUGGUGUUCGGGUUGUCAUGCCAAUGGCACUGCCCGGUAGCUAAAUGCGGAAGAGAUAAGUGCUGAAAGCAUCUAAGCACGAAACUUGCCCCGAGAUGAGUUCUCCCUGACUCUUUAAGGGUCCUGAAGGAACGUUGAAGACGACGACGUUGAUAGGCCGGGUGUGUAAGCGCAGCGAUGCGUUGAGCUAACCGGUACUAAUGAACCGUGAGGCUUAACCUU
RNAcentral lists this ribosomal RNA (2904 nucleotides) under Escherichia coli. RNAcentral describes it as "23S ribosomal RNA". It matches the Rfam family "Bacterial large subunit ribosomal RNA". Lineage: Bacteria; Pseudomonadati; Pseudomonadota; Gammaproteobacteria; Enterobacterales; Enterobacteriaceae. The record is from RNAcentral.